GUCUUCCUUCUGCUGCAGUGGAUCAUCUCUGUAGAUCUGCUGUCUGUCCUGAACUCUUGGAACAUGUUGCUGUACCUCCUGCUCUUCUCUCUCUACAUCGCCAUGGGCUCCAUGAACACCGUCACACAGGAGCAGAGGGAACACGUCGCUUCAGAGGGAAGCCCCACCAGUUUGAGCUGCGGAUAUACUGGUUCUAUCUAUAAUGUCCAGUGGUACCGACAGCAGCACGGAUCCAGACCAGAGUUCCUGCUCCACAUCACAGAGUCGGGAUCGAUCCAUCCAACUCGCUCCGAUUUCUCAGCUCACAUCGAUAAAACUCAGAAACGAGGAACUCUGCUGAUCUCCUCUGCUGCAGUGACAGACUCUGCUGUGUACUACUGCGCUGUGGCGCCCACAGUGACAGGAAACACCAGAACCCUGUACAAAAACCUGCAGUACUCCACAGCAGCCACUAGAGGGCCUCACUCCCUGUUAAACCACUGAAACCUGCAGUACUCCACAG
Molecule: non-coding RNA, 502 nt
Organism: Xiphophorus maculatus (southern platyfish)
Lineage: Eukaryota; Metazoa; Chordata; Actinopteri; Cyprinodontiformes; Poeciliidae
Source: the annotation of a RefSeq genome assembly